GACGAACGCUGGCGGCGUGCCUAAUACAUGCAAGUUGAGCGCUGAAGGUUGGUACUUGUACCGACUGGAUGAGCAGCGAACGGGUGAGUAACGCGUGGUGAAUCUGCCUUUGAGCGGGGGACAACAUUUGGAAACGAAUGCUAAUACCGCAUAAAAACUUUAAACACAAGUUUUAAGUUUGAAAGAUGCAAUUGCAUCACUCAAAGAUGAUCCCGCGUUGUAUUAGCUAGUUGGUGAGGUAAAGGCUCACCAAGGCGAUGAUACAUAGCCGACCUGAGAGGGUGAUCGGCCACAUUGGGACGGAGACACGGCCCAAACUCCUACGGGAGGCAGCAGUAGGGAAUCUUCAGCAAUGGACGAAAGUCUGACCGAGCAACGCCGCGUGAGUGAAGAAGGUUUUCGGAUCGUAAAACUCGGUUGGUAGAGAAGAACGUUGGUGAGAGUGGAAAGCUCAUCAAGUGACGGUAACUACACAGAAAGGUACGGCUAACUACGUG
This 497-nucleotide ribosomal RNA is filed under the name uncultured bacterium. RNAcentral describes it as "partial 16S ribosomal RNA". It matches the Rfam family "Bacterial small subunit ribosomal RNA", at positions 28 to 507 of the family's 1533-position model. The record is from RNAcentral.